This is a long non-coding RNA of Zingiber officinale, 226 nucleotides long. RefSeq lists it as uncharacterized. The record is from RefSeq and is a predicted model, not a curated record. Lineage: Eukaryota; Viridiplantae; Streptophyta; Magnoliopsida; Zingiberales; Zingiberaceae. The transcript has 3 exons.
CUCGCGUUGAGGCAAGACUCUACUUGGAGCAGUAUGGAGGGGGAAGUGAUAUUUGGAUUGGCAAGACUCUCUACAGGAUGCCUCUGGUAAACAAUGAUAUGUAUUUGGAGUUGGCUAAGUUGGACUUUAACCAUUGCCAAGCUCACCAUCAGCUGGAGUGGCUCUAUCUUCAAAAGUGGUACGAGGAGGCAGGCCUUGGAUGGCAUGGUGUGAGCAGAAGAACCCU